GAUGAACGCUGGCGGCGUGCUUAACACAUGCAAGUCGAACGAAGCACUUAAGAUUGAUUCUUCGGAUGACGUCUUUUGUGACUUAGUGGCGGACGGGUGAGUAACGCGUGGGUAACCUGCCUCACACAGGGGGAUAACAGUUAGAAAUGACUGCUAAUACCGCAUAACCCGAUAGGAUCGCAUGAUCCAGACGGAAAAGAUUUAUCGGUGUGAGAUGGACCCGCGUCUGAUUAGCUAGUUGGUGAGGUAACGGCCCACCAAGGCGACGAUCAGUAGCCGGCCUGAGAGGGUGAACGGCCACAUUGGGACUGAGACACGGCCCAAACUCCUACGGGAGGCAGCAGUGGGGAAUAUUGCACAAUGGGGGAAACACUGAUGCAGCGACGCCGCGUGAGUGAAGAAGUAUUUCGGUAUGUAAAGCUCUAUCAGCAGGGAAGAAAAUGACGGUACCUGACUAAGAAGCCCCGGCUAACUACGUG
Molecule: ribosomal RNA, 479 nt
Filed under: uncultured bacterium
Lineage: Bacteria
Description: partial 16S ribosomal RNA
Rfam family: Bacterial small subunit ribosomal RNA
Source: RNAcentral